AACUGAAUACAUAGGUUAACGAGGCGAACCGGGGGAACUGAAACAUCUAAGUACCCCGAGGAAAAGAAAUCAACCGAGAUUCCCCCAGUAGCGGCGAGCGAACGGGGAGCAGCCCAGAGUCUGAAUCAGCUUGUGUGUUAGUGGAACGGUCUGGAAAGUCCGACGGUACAGGGUGAUAGUCCCGUACACCAAAAUGCACAGGCUGUGAACUCGAAGAGUAGGGCGGGACACGUGGUAUCCUGUCUGAAUAUGGGGGGACCAUCCUCCAAGGCUAAAUACUCCUGACUGACCGAUAGUGAACCAGUACCGUGAGGGAAAGGCGAAAAGAACCCCGGCGAGGGGAGUGAAAAAGAACCUGAAACCGUGUACGUACAAGCAGUGGGAGCACCUUCGGGUGUGACUGCGUACCUUUUGUAUAAUGGGUCAGCGACUUAUAUUCUGUAGCAAGGUUAACCGUAUAGGGGAGCCGCAGGGAAACCGAGUCUUAACUGGGCGUUAAGUUGCAGGGUAUAGACCCGAAACCCGGUGAUCUAGCCAUGGGCAGGUUGAAGGUUGGGUAACACUAACUGGAGGACCGAACCGACUAAUGUUGAAAAAUUAGCGGAUGACUUGUGGCUGGGGGUGAAAGGCCAAUCAAACCGGGAGAUAGCUGGUUCUCCCCGAAAGCUAUUUAGGUAGCGCCUCGUGAAUUCAUCUUCGGGGGUAGAGCACUGUUUCGGCUAGGGGGUCAUCCCGACUUACCAACCCGAUGCAAACUACGAAUACCGAAGAAUGUUAUCACGGGAGACACACGGCGGGUGCUAACGUCCGUCGUGAAGAGGGAAACAACCCAGACCGCCAGCUAAGGUCCCAAAGUCAUGGUUAAGUGGGAAACGAUGUGGGAAGGCACAGACAGCCAGGAUGUUGGCUUAGAAGCAGCCAUCAUUUAAAGAAAGCGUAAUAGCUCACUGGUCGAGUCGGCCUGCGCGGAAGAUGUAACGGGGCUAAACCAUGCACCGAAGCUGCGGCAGCGACACUAUGUGUUGUUGGGUAGGGGAGCGUUCUGUAAGCCUGCGAAGGUGUGCUGUGAGGCAUGCUGGAGGUAUCAGAAGUGCGAAUGCUGACAUAAGUAACGAUAAAGCGGGUGAAAAGCCCGCUCGCCGGAAGACCAAGGGUUCCUGUCCAACGUUAAUCGGGGCAGGGUGAGUCGACCCCUAAGGCGAGGCCGAAAGGCGUAGUCGAUGGGAAACAGGUUAAUAUUCCUGUACUUGGUGUUACUGCGAAGGGGGGACGGAGAAGGCUAUGUUAGCCGGGCGACGGUUGUCCCGGUUUAAGCAUGUAGGCUGGUUGUCCAGGCAAAUCCGGAUAAUCAAGGCUGAGGUGUGAUGACGAGGCACUACGGUGCUGAAGUAACAAAUGCCCUGCUUCCAGGAAAAGCCUCUAAGCAUCAGGUAACAUUAAAUCGUACCCCAAACCGACACAGGUGGUCAGGUAGAGAAUACCAAGGCGCUUGAGAGAACUCGGGUGAAGGAACUAGGCAAAAUGGUGCCGUAACUUCGGGAGAAGGCACGCUGGUGUGUAGGUGAAGUCCCUGCGGAUGGAGCUGAGACCAGUCGAAGAUACCAGCUGGCUGCAACUGUUUAUUAAAAACACAGCACUGUGCAAACACGAAAGUGGACGUAUACGGUGUGACGCCUGCCCGGUGCCGGAAGGUUAAUUGAUGGGGUUAUCCGUAAGGAGAAGCUCUUGAUCGAAGCCCCGGUAAACGGCGGCCGUAACUAUAACGGUCCUAAGGUAGCGAAAUUCCUUGUCGGGUAAGUUCCGACCUGCACGAAUGGCGUAAUGAUGGCCAGGCUGUCUCCACCCGAGACUCAGUGAAAUUGAACUCGCUGUGAAGAUGCAGUGUACCCGCGGCAAGACGGAAAGACCCCGUGAACCUUUACUAUAGCUUGACACUGAACAUUGAGCCUUGAUGUGUAGGAUAGGUGGGAGGCUUUGAAGCGUGGACGCCAGUCUGCGUGGAGCCAACCUUGAAAUACCACCCUUUAAUGUUUGAUGUUCUAACGUUGGCCCCUGACCGGGGUUGCGGACAGUGUCUGGUGGGUAGUUUGACUGGGGCGGUCUCCUCCCAAAGCGUAACGGAGGAGCACGAAGGUUAGCUAAUCCUGGUCGGACAUCAGGAGGUUAGUGCAAUGGCAUAAGCUAGCUUGACUGCGAGCGUGACGGCGCGAGCAGGUGCGAAAGCAGGUCAUAGUGAUCCGGUGGUUCUGAAUGGAAGGGCCAUCGCUCAACGGAUAAAAGGUACUCCGGGGAUAACAGGCUGAUACCGCCCAAGAGUUCAUAUCGACGGCGGUGUUUGGCACCUCGAUGUCGGCUCAUCACAUCCUGGGGCUGAAGUAGGUCCCAAGGGUAUGGCUGUUCGCCAUUUAAAGUGGUACGCGAGCUGGGUUUAGAACGUCGUGAGACAGUUCGGUCCCUAUCUGCCGUGGGCGCUGGAGAAUUGAGGGGGGCUGCUCCUAGUACGAGAGGACCGGAGUGGACGCAUCACUGGUGUUCGGGUUGUCAUGCCAAUGGCACUGCCCGGUAGCUAAAUGCGGAAGAGAUAAGUGCUGAAAGCAUCUAAGCACGAAACUUGCCCCGAGAUGAGUUCUCCCUGAGACUUUAAGUCUCCUGAAGGAACGUUGAAGACGACGACGUUGAUAGGCCGGGUGUGUAAGCGCAGCGAUGCGUUGAGCUAACCGGUACUAAUGAACCGUGAGGCUUAACCUUACAACGCCGAAG
RNAcentral lists this ribosomal RNA (2760 nucleotides) under Klebsiella pneumoniae. Its description in RNAcentral is "bacterial LSU rRNA". It matches the Rfam family "Bacterial large subunit ribosomal RNA". The record is from RNAcentral. Lineage: Bacteria; Pseudomonadati; Pseudomonadota; Gammaproteobacteria; Enterobacterales; Enterobacteriaceae.